RNAcentral lists this ribosomal RNA (301 nucleotides) under uncultured bacterium. Its description in RNAcentral is "partial 16S ribosomal RNA". It matches the Rfam family "Bacterial small subunit ribosomal RNA", at positions 509 to 807 of the family's 1533-position model. The record is from RNAcentral.
CAGCCGCCGCGGGAAUACGUAGGGUGCGAGCGUUAAUCGGAAUUACUGGGCGUAAAGGGUGCGUAGGCGGCUUGACAAGUCUUGUGUGAGAUCUAUGGGUUCAACCCAUAGUCUGCACGGGGAACUGUCGGGCUUGAGAAUGGGAGAGGUGAGUGGAAUUUCCGGUGUAGCGGUGAAAUGCGUAGAUAUCGGAAGGAACACCUGUGGCGAAAGCGGCUCACUGGACCAUUUCUGACGCUGAUGCACGAAAGCUAGGGGAGCAAACAGGAUUAGAUACCCCCGUAGUCCCUGUCUCUUAUAC